This 541-nucleotide ribosomal RNA is filed under the name uncultured bacterium. RNAcentral describes it as "partial 16S ribosomal RNA". It matches the Rfam family "Bacterial small subunit ribosomal RNA", at positions 355 to 902 of the family's 1533-position model. The record is from RNAcentral.
UGGGGAAUAUUGCACAAUGGGCGAAAGCCUGAUGCAGCGACGCCGCGUGCGGGAUGACGGCCUUCGGGUUGUAAACCGCUUUCGGCAGGGAAGAAGCCGCAAGGUGACGGUACCUGCAGAAGAAGCGCCGGCUAACUACGUGCCAGCAGCCGCGGUAAUACGUAGGGCGCAAGCGUUGUCCGGAAUUAUUGGGCGUAAAGAGCUCGUAGGCGGUUCGUCGCGUCUGCUGUGAAAUCCUCAGGCUCAACCUGGGGCGUGCAGUGGGUACGGGCGGACUAGAGUGCGGUAGGGGUGACUGGAAUUCCUGGUGUAGCGGUGGAAUGCGCAGAUAUCAGGAGGAACACCGAUGGCGAAGGCAGGCCACUGGGCCGCAACUGACGCUGAGGAGCGAAAGCAUGGGGAGCGAACAGGAUUAGAUAGCCCUGGUAGUCCAUGCCGUAAACGUUGGGCACUAGGUGUGGGGUCCAUUCCACGGAUUCCGUGCCGCAGCAAAGCGCAUUAAGUGCCCCGCCUGGGGAGUACGGCCGCAAGGCUAAAACUC